Long non-coding RNA from Felis catus (domestic cat), 2150 nucleotides. RefSeq lists it as uncharacterized. The transcript has 3 exons. The record is from RefSeq and is a predicted model, not a curated record. Lineage: Eukaryota; Metazoa; Chordata; Mammalia; Carnivora; Felidae.
CUGAGCCAAUGAGAACCACCCAGGGAUGGCAACUAUUAGCAUAAACUGUCUAAGCCCACCUCCCACUUGGGGCGGGGCUUGUCUCCACGGCAACCCUCCAAGCCGAUUCCCCCAGGGGCUGAUCCCAGCAGAAAUAUAGGUGCUGAAGGGCAGGUGGGGGUUGAGAGGAAUUCCGAUGGGGGGGUGGGGGGCAGGAAGAACCCAGGCGCUGGAACUUCUUUGGCUUCUGACCUUGUCACCUCGCCUAUUAAAUGGGCCCCAUCAUUACGGGCAUCAGACACCGUAACGUUUUCUUGAAAGCGCUGCGAGGGAUCUGGCGGACUCCUAGAGCAGCUUUGCUUCUUCGCCACACUCCCCUGCAGUCCGCGGCCUGUCCCCGGAUGAAAUCUUCGGAGCCUCCCCACCUUUUCUGGACUGGCCCCUCUCAGUCGAGAAGAGUAUCAGUUGGCACAGUCGGUGAUAUGGUCUCCCUACUUCUGACGCCUCUGCUGUCCAGUGGAUAGAAGGAUCUGGAAGAGCCUGAGAGGCAGGCCCGGUUUGACACGGUAUUCGUUCUCUGCAGGGGGGACGGUGCCCAGAGCUGACUCCCGCCUUGUGGGGCAGGUGAGGACAGAGCAAGAAGACAGCUGUCUGCCAACCGGGAAGAGAGCCCUCACCAGGAACCCAAUUGGCCGGCACCCUGAUCUUGGACCUCCAGCCUCCAGAACCGUGAGCAGCAAAUGCCUGUUGGUGGAGCCCCCCGGACCCCGGUUGCCAAAGCCGACUUUGCACACAUACGUGCACCCUCACAACCACACAGGGCAACUAGUCUUUUCAAAGAAAAGGGUUUUCUUUCCUUUUUGGUGAUUUCGUCUGUUUCCCUCCACACUACAAAAAAAAAAAAAAAAAAAAAAAGGCCAAGGUCGAGGAAUUUCUUCACAUCUCCAGGGUUUGCUCUGGUGUCCCGAGAACGUGGCUGGUGACGCGGGAUAAGGUCGCCCUAUUAUGACAGUAGUUCCUUCUGGCUUAUGAUAAAUCCCAGCCGGGUCAACCAGUGCACAGAAGGACUCUUCCGACCGUGACUCCAGUCCCCUGAGCCUCUCUGUUAGGUUUAUCAAACUCUAAAGCUAUAGCCCUGCCCCAGGGUUACCACAGCCCCCAAAUCCUACUGCUCCCCCAAACUCCUACCCUGACUUCAAGAUAACUGGCAUAAAUGUGGCUCAUCUGCUCAGAUAAGGACCCUGCUCAGAUUAUGAGUUCCACUCUACAGGGCUGGGGUUGUAUUUUCAAAAUGCGUAUCAAAUCCCGCUUAAAUGCCUUUUCACUGCUUCGAGGACAAAUUCACCACAUUGAAUGAUAGCCCUACCGCAGUUCCCAGAAAGGUCGGGAAGGUUGUGUCCUAACAUGUGAUUGGUGAUGUCAUAUAGUCCAACAUCCAAUAUCAUUCCCAUACCUGACUCUCCCCAACUCAGAGACUGACUGGCCGCCACUGGCCGAGCCCACCCACCCCAGGUUCUAGAAGAAAACGCGGCCAGAGGCGCAGGGAGGGAUUCUGCAGGCACUCAAGUCACCUUCCCUGCCUCCACCCCAAGAAAUACUCUCCUGCUUAAAUUUCUAUGCCUUUCUUAUAAGCGGUCCAAUAACUCACCCCUUCAAGGACGGGCCAGCCUUGUUCUUUCCUGUUUGGCCAAUCUCCCGCUCUGGUCCUAACUAGGAGCAGAAUCCCAUCCUGAAAACUGAAAGGUACUGAGGACGUGAAAAAAAACCCAUAAAUGGGCAAGUGAACACACCAUGUGAUAUGAUACAUGGUUGACACGACGUGAUGUGCUGUGACGUUGAUAAGAUGCAAUGUGGUCCCUGCUUAGACCACUUGCAAUUCUUGCUGAUUUCCCGUCCUUUUUCUAGACACUUCUUUGGAACUCCCUGAACCUGCAACCCAGACCACGUGUGGGCCAUGCCACAGAUCUGUUUACGUUCUAUCUGUGAAACUGCUUUUCUCCUCCUGACUGUUGACGGAUAUAGUUCUGUCUGGUGCGAGCCUGGCAGGAACCGGACUCUUAAGGGCGAGGUCAAGUUAGGUUAGGGCCAGUGCAGGCAGUGAGUUACCUGGGACCACGCUAAAAAAGGGAACUUCUUUUUUUUUCUUUUUUUGAAUGCUUAUUUAUUCUUGA